This 371-nucleotide long non-coding RNA is filed under the name Homo sapiens (human). RNAcentral's name for it is "HSALNT0406691". Lineage: Eukaryota; Metazoa; Chordata; Mammalia; Primates; Hominidae. The record is from RNAcentral.
CAUCAUGUCAUUUCACCUAUAAAUACUUGAGUAUGCAUCUUUACUUAAAAUAAUACAAAACACAAUAUCUAUAUGUAUCUUUCUAUCCAUCUAGAUGCCUAUCCAUCCAUUCAUCCACCAUCCAUCCACCCAACCAUCCAUCCAUCCACCAUGCAUCCACCAUCCACCCACCAUCCAUCCAUCCAUCCACCAUCCAUCCAUCCAUCCAUCCACCAUCCAUCCAUCCAUCCAUCCACCAUCCAUCCAUCCAUCCAUCCACCAUCCAUCCACCAUCCAUCCAUCCACCAUCCAUCCAUCCAUCCAUCAUCCAUCCAUCCAUCCAUCCAUCCACCAUCCAUCCAUCCAUCCACCAUCCAUUCAUCCAUCCAUCC